GGGGACGCGUGGUCUCGACAGUGAGGUGAUCACGAGACUGCAGGUCGAGGUGCCAUCUACCCUCGUUAAUCCGGUGGCAACAAAAGUAACUGGCGAGCCAAAGCUUGCCCUCGCUGCCUAAUAAGUAGCGACGUUCCUGCGGAUCCAACCCCGGGGGGUCCGUUAGGAGCGACGAAAACCUGGGGUGCUGCAGUCGCGACGCCGGUAGCGACCGCCUAAGACCUCCGGCUGGCCGCCCUGAAGCGAGUGUCGACGGGUUACUCAGGCGGCGAGAAAAACCACCCAGCGGCUAAACCUGUAGACGUCAAAGCGAAAACCUUUCUGGACGGGGAGUUCGACUCUCCCCCGUCUCCACCA
RNAcentral lists this transfer-messenger RNA (357 nucleotides) under Dehalococcoidia. RNAcentral describes it as "VGZT01 sp016872495 Standard tmRNA". It matches the Rfam family "transfer-messenger RNA". Rfam says of the family: Bacterial tmRNA, also known as 10Sa RNA or SsrA, is named for its dual tRNA and mRNA-like properties. Its role is to liberate the mRNA from a stalled ribosome. Lineage: Bacteria; Bacillati; Chloroflexota. The record is from RNAcentral. RNAcentral also lists the same sequence under 1 other name.